ACCGGCUAACUCCGUGCCAGCAGCCGCGGUAAUACGGAGGGUGCGAGCGUUAAUCGGAAGUUACUGGGCGUAAAGCGCAUGCAGGUGGUUUGUUAAGUCAGAUGUGAAAGCCCGGGGCUCAACCUCGGAAUUGCAUUUGAAACUGGCAAACUAGAGUACUGUAGAGGGGGUAGAAUUUCAGGUGUAGCGGUGAAAUGCGUAGAGAUCUGAAGGAAUACCGGUGGCGAAGGCGGCCCCCUGGACAGAUACUGACACUCAGAUGCGAAAGCGUGGGGAGCAAACAGGAUUAGAUACCCUGGUAG
This 302-nucleotide ribosomal RNA is filed under the name uncultured bacterium. Its description in RNAcentral is "bacterial SSU rRNA". It matches the Rfam family "Bacterial small subunit ribosomal RNA", at positions 492 to 793 of the family's 1533-position model. The record is from RNAcentral.